GGACUACCAGGGUAUCUAAUCCCGUUUGCUCCCCUGGCUUUCGCGCCUCAGCGUCAGAAGAGGUCCAGCGCGCCGCUUUCGCCACCGGUGUUCCUUUGGAUAUCUACGCAUUUCACCGCUCCACCCAAAGUUCCGCACGCCCCUACCUCCCUCGAGGUGGUCAGUAUCAAAGGCACUUUUCCGGUUGGGCCGAAAGAUUUCACCCCUGACUUGACCGCCCGCCUACGCGCCCUUUAAGCCCAGUGAUUCCGAACAACGUUUGCACGGUUCGUCUUACCGCGGCGGCUGGCAC
RNAcentral lists this ribosomal RNA (292 nucleotides) under uncultured Planctomycetota bacterium. RNAcentral describes it as "uncultured planctomycete partial 16S ribosomal RNA". The record is from RNAcentral. Lineage: Bacteria; Pseudomonadati; Planctomycetota.